This 506-nucleotide ribosomal RNA is filed under the name uncultured bacterium. RNAcentral describes it as "partial 16S ribosomal RNA". It matches the Rfam family "Bacterial small subunit ribosomal RNA", at positions 29 to 523 of the family's 1533-position model. The record is from RNAcentral.
AGUGAACGCUGGCGGUAGGCCUAACACAUGCAAGUCGAACGGCAGCACAGGAGAGCUUGCUCUCUGGGUGGCGAGUGGCGGACGGGUGAGGAAUACAUCGGAAUCUACUCUGUCGUGGGGGAUAACGUAGGGAAACUUACGCUAAUACCGCAUACGACCUACGGGUGAAAGCAGGGGACCUUCGGGCCUUGCGCGAUUGAAUGAGCCGAUGUCGGAUUAGCUAGUUGGCGGGGUAAAGGCCCACCAAGGCGACGAUCCGUAGCUGGUCUGAGAGGAUGAUCAGCCACACUGGAACUGAGACACGGUCCAGACCCCUACGGGAGGCAGCGGUGGGGAAUAUUGGACAAUGGGCGCAAGCCUGAUCCAGCCAUACCGCGUGGGUGAAGAAGGCCUUCGGGUUGUAAAGCCCUUUUGUUGGGAAAGAAAUCCAGCUGGCUAAUACCCGGUUGGGAUGACGGUACCCAAAGAAUAAGCACCGGCUAACUUCGUGCCAGCCGCCGCUGUAA